AGUAAUGCCUAGGAAUCUGCCUGGUAGUGGGGGACAACGUUUCGAAAGGAACGCUAAUACCGCAUACGUCCUACGGGAGAAAGCAGGGGACCUUCGGGCCUUGCGCUAUCAGAUGAGCCUAGGUCGGAUUAGCUAGUUGGUGAGGUAAUGGCUCACCAAGGCGACGAUCCGUAACUGGUCUGAGAGGAUGAUCAGUCACACUGGAACUGAGACACGGUCCAGACUCCUACGGGAGGCAGCAGGA
Molecule: ribosomal RNA, 244 nt
Filed under: uncultured Pseudomonas sp.
Lineage: Bacteria; Pseudomonadati; Pseudomonadota; Gammaproteobacteria; Pseudomonadales; Pseudomonadaceae
Description: partial 16S ribosomal RNA
Rfam family: Bacterial small subunit ribosomal RNA
Source: RNAcentral